CACAAGUGUGCCUAGAGGCUUCAAAGAACAGCAAAGAGGCAGCCUGGCUGCAGCAGGAGAGAGAGGACAGCAUAACAGGAGGAUCACUGGCUGCUGGGGUGAGAUGGAAGCAGGGAAGAUGGAUAAGAGACUCCCACAAUAAUCCAGGCAAGAGAUGAAGGAGUCUUGGUCCAGGAUGGUAACAGUGGAGGGGAAUGAUUAUUUCGGACUCUGAGUCUUGGAUGGUCGUCUCUACAAGCUCCCAAAGGAAAACACCCAUGUGGUUUUUGCCUGCUUGAGGUAAAUACCACCUUAGGCCAACUACCCCAUCUGUAAACUGGGAAUAACACCAGAUUGCAGGGAUGUUGAGGAGGGUUAAUUAUAUACAGAGUGUCUAAGGGUUGAGCAGAUACACAAGUGCUCUGGAAGUUCUUGGCAUAAUACUAUAGCAUUACAAUAAUUCUGGCUUGCAAAUUAUACCCCAGCAGAGGUAUCACAUGGAAAAGUGGAUCCGACUCUACGGCCUGAUGAAAGUGACAUGGAAAAAAUAAGUUAUGAAAUAUAACUUCUCUUCCUGAACUUUUGGAAAAGGCAGAGAUAACCUUUCCAUGUGCAAGACACAUGCAGGGAGCAAGCUUCCAGAUUCUGGUGAGGACUUUCUUGUCUCAGGUGGCCUGGCCUAUUGCCAGGAUCUGAGCCCAGAAGUAGAAAUGGGAAGGAAGGGAGCUGGGGAGGAUUUGUGGUUGGAUGAAAGGUGGGGCUUAAAACAAGGAUGUCCUUGCCUUUCAGGUUUUCUACUGGGGCCUCCUUACGUGCAAGAUAAUUAAGUGCCAAUGCGACAGAGGAACAAUUUAAAGGGUAACGGAGAUACUUAAGUCUAGGUAUAUUCAAAAUAAACAUCCUAGCCAGGUCAACUUCUGGGUCCUCUCUGCAUGCCCCAGACACAUCACAUCUCUCUCUCUCUCUCUCUCUCUCUCUCUCUCUCUCUCACACACACACACACACACACACACACACACAUCCCUUAGAUUAUUUCCUGUGAAAUGCUAAGUAAAUAGAUCUCAGGCAAUGAAGAUGCUCUGUAGCUGGUGAUAGUAUCUGCGACUGUGAGACGUCACAUAGUGGGUUUGGAAAAUUCAACUGGCCACAGAGGAUGACAGUUUUGUCUGACCAAGGAGGGAAAGGGCAAAUAGCUUGAUUCUGGAAUAACAAAUUUGAAGUCAAUUUCACUUUACCACUGUGUAUGGCUGAGCAGACAGAGGUCAGCUUCAGGAUAAGACCGAGUUCAAGUCCUGCUUCUAUCACUUCUGUGCUGUGGCCUCAGGCAUGAGUCUGGGUGGGUUACAGAGAGGAAGCAGUAACAGCUCUCAGGCCUUCCCUGUCCAAAUGUCUCAGAUUGAAAUCUGAGUUUGACCUCUACUUCCAGCGUGGCCAGAACUAUGAUGUGAUCAAAAGAGCCCCUGGCCUUGCUGUCUGCCCUCACAGUUCCCACUGUUACUACAGGAUAUGGGAAAAACAGACUCCCCCAAAGCACAUCUAUAACAGACAGACAGCAAAUGCAGAUUAUUGAUUUGGGCUAUUGUUUUAGUAAAUCAACAUUCUUAGAGAAUUUCUCAGCUCUCAGGUGCCCACAUCUUAGAGUUAAGUCACAUUUUGAGGGUUGCCCAGGCAAAUUCAAAGCAGCACCAGGCCCUAGUGGCAGCUACUUCAUCUUUAGGCAGCAUUUCCCUCUCAACAGGGAGCAUGCCACCUCCCCUGGGUGCAGAUCCCAGGAAAAGUUACACUGACCAAAUCAGGCCACUCCCUGGGACUGUUUCCUCAAUUUUGGUUAAUAAUCAAAGGAUGAUCUGAAAUCGCAAAGAAGAGACUCUUGGAAAAGACAUAAUUAUGGUGCCACCCGACUUAGGAACUGGCAUCCAAGUCCACCUGUGUGACUUUCCUCUGGGCCUCAGUUUCUCCAUCUGUAAAAUGAGGUCCUGUAUUUAUUUUUUGAGACGGAAUCUCCCUCUG
Molecule: long non-coding RNA, 1989 nt
Filed under: Homo sapiens (human)
Lineage: Eukaryota; Metazoa; Chordata; Mammalia; Primates; Hominidae
Description: HSALNT0351894
Source: RNAcentral